Molecule: ribosomal RNA, 253 nt
Filed under: uncultured bacterium
Lineage: Bacteria
Description: partial 16S ribosomal RNA
Rfam family: Bacterial small subunit ribosomal RNA
Source: RNAcentral
UACGAAGGUCCCGAGCGUUAUCCGGAUUUAUUGGGUUUAAAGGGUGCGUAGGCGGGUUAUUAAGUCAGUGGUGAAAGCCUUCAGCUUAACUGAAGAAUUGCCAUUGACACUGAUGAUCUUGAGUAUGAUUGAGGUGGGCGGAAUGUGUCAUGUAGCGGUGAAAUGCUUAGAUAUGACACAGAACACCGAUUGCGAAGGCAGCUCACUAAGCCAUAACUGACGCUGAUGCACGAAAGCGUGGGGAGCAAACAGG